UGAUAGAGGUUGCGGCGUUCAUGUGUAGCGCGGGGAGGACUCCCAGGGUCCGCCGAUCCGUCCGCGAAGGGGGACGCCGCCGAAGAGAAUGACCGGCCGGGACGGUAUUCUCUGGACGCGGUGGCGAACAGCGCCGCGGCUGUCACCGGUGGGGCCGGUGGAGCGCUGUCUG
This 172-nucleotide non-coding RNA is filed under the name chicken gut metagenome. RNAcentral's name for it is "Lysine riboswitch". It matches the Rfam family "Lysine riboswitch aptamer". From Rfam's summary of the family: Riboswitches are metabolite binding domains within certain messenger RNAs that serve as precision sensors for their corresponding targets. The record is from RNAcentral.